Molecule: transfer RNA, 63 nt
Filed under: Acanthocardia tuberculata (tuberculate cockle)
Lineage: Eukaryota; Metazoa; Mollusca; Bivalvia; Cardiida; Cardiidae
Description: tRNA-Asp
Source: RNAcentral
GAAGCGUAGUUUAUUAAAAUACUUGUUUGUCAGGCAAGAGAUUCUCAUGAGAGGGGCUUCUUU